CCGGGGCUUAUUCUCCCGAUACUGUCAUUAUCAUCUCGGGUAAAAGAGCUUUACAACCCUAGGGCCUUCAUCACUCACGCGGCAUUGCUGGAUCAGGGUUGACCCCAUUGUCCAAUAUUCCCUACUGCUGCCUCCCGUAGGAGUCUGGGCCGUGUCUCAGUCCCAGUGUGGCUGAUCAUCCUCUCAGACCAGCUAAGGAUCGUCGCCUUGGUAGGCCUUUACCCCACCAACUAGCUAAUCCUACGCGGGCUCAUCCUUGGGAGAUAUAUCUUUGGACUUCGACAUCAUCCGGUAUUA
This 297-nucleotide ribosomal RNA is filed under the name 2,4-D degrading bacterium B6-5. RNAcentral describes it as "partial small subunit ribosomal RNA". Lineage: Bacteria; Pseudomonadati; Pseudomonadota; Alphaproteobacteria; Sphingomonadales; Sphingomonadaceae. The record is from RNAcentral.